UUGGCAGGUCUGGAAACUGAAAUCCCCAUCACAGGCACAACUCAGCCAGCGGCAGUGAAAUUUUCCAGCUCACUGAUGUAUCUCAAUGCUGGCUCUAGGGGAAGCCUUUAGGUUUGAUGUGGGGAGUUCAGUCUCUAUGGCCCUGUCAAUCCUGGGCCUCU
This 161-nucleotide small RNA is filed under the name Gopherus agassizii (Agassiz's desert tortoise). RNAcentral describes it as "TUC338 (ENSGAGG00000020124.1)". The record is from RNAcentral. Lineage: Eukaryota; Metazoa; Chordata; Testudines; Testudinidae.